This 3853-nucleotide long non-coding RNA is filed under the name Lupinus angustifolius (narrow-leaved blue lupine). Its description in RNAcentral is "long non-coding RNA (LANG_LNC000983)". The record is from RNAcentral. Lineage: Eukaryota; Viridiplantae; Streptophyta; Magnoliopsida; Fabales; Fabaceae.
GCCCUUGCCUUUGUCUCAAUUAUAGCUUGCCCACAAAAUUGGUUACCAGUACAAGCCACCAAUGUUUUCAUUAGAAUAGAAGGUUCAGGUGAAAACCUCUCUUUUAAUAGAGGUUCUUUAAGCAAUGCAUCAAGUUUUGAGUUUUCAACAUUAGGUAUGAUUAUGUUUUGUUCCACAGUAAGUCUUAGUUCACCAGUACCAUACUUAUCAGCUAAAUUAGCAAGUUCAUCCAUCUCAUAUGCUUGGACUCUACCAACUGGAAUGUGAAUCCCAACAUAGCUUAAGCCCUCUUGCUUUUGUGGAUGAACACCUAAGUAAUCUCUUCUUUCCCAUUGUUUCUCAACCAUUUCUUCCUCAGAUGCUCUCUCUAGUUUCUUCCCUGGCAUUCUUUUUUCUAUCUCUGACCUGAAUACUUCUAUACCCUGCAUUUACCAAAUAUGUAUAAUUAAACAAUAAAAAUAGUAAAUAUUAAAGUUUGUGUAUAUAUAUAUAAUUCUAACAACCAUAUUAUUUGUAUGUUUGUGUGAAACUUUAAGGUUUAUAACACAAAGUACAGAUGACAUUUUUGUUAUUUUAACAUAGGGGUGACCAUGGGUCGGGUUGGGACAGGUUAAGGCUUGUCCUUACCCGGCCCUAAAUAUUGGGCGGUCACUUUUUUGAAUCUGGACCCAACCCUAGACCCGAAGCUAAUCCGACCAUAAAUAGCGAUCGGGUCGAUCUUUAAACCCGACUCGACCCUAGACCCGAUUAAAUAUAAUACAUACUCGUUGACAUCUAAGCCUAAAACCUAUGCUCAAAAUGUGCAUGUAUAUUGUUUAUAUAAAGAGGAUGUAGACUUGAUCUUGUGAAAUUCUAAAUCUAGGCAUAGAAGGAUACGUAAUUGCAUUGAUGUCAUUUAUGGCCACAUAUAAAAGGGGCUAUUUGCUAGCUUCUUCUAAGUCAAAUAACACAGAAGGAAAAGAUAGAAAAGGGUAGGAGAUAAUCGAACAAAAUCUAUUGAAUUGAAACAAAUAGAGUAAAAACAAAACAAAAAAAAAACAAGGUGCUUCCAAAUGGUCGAUAAGAUAUACCAAAAGAAGGCAAAAAAAUCUAUAAAGCUGAAGGUGAUACCUUCUUUUUAAUUCCAUUUUUGGAAUACAUGCGGGGAAUGGGGAUUGGAUUUCAUCCUUGUCAUCCACCUGGGUGCAAAAGAGACUCCCCUAUGUGUGAAAGAGGAUCUUUUGAGUGUUAUUAAAUCUCAAAAAUAAUCUAAUACCCUAAACAAAAAUGAAAAGUGUUCAAAAUUUACAAGAAUUUCAAUUUGAAUACAUUUUUAAUAAGUUUUCAACUUUUCAUUGAUUACUAAAUCGUACUAAAAUUCGAAACAUUUUUAUUUAUUAUUAUGGCUAAUUUAAGACGUUUUUUUUACACUUUUUGCCCUUUUUAUGAGAUAUAGGGAGUAUUAGAUAGGUGUAUAACUAAUAAAUGGGUAAAAAUAACUGCAAUUGUAGACUAAGAAAAAAUUAGUAAAACAGGGGUAAAAUACAAAUAUUAGGUUUCAUUAAGAGGUAAAUAGUUUUAUGGGUAAUUUCUGUGUUUCUUUUUUCUUCAGUGAAAUGAUAAAUGUGAAAAUGCAAAUAGAAAGGAGAGACGUGAUUUAAAAAACCUCCACUUUUCAUUUGCUAUUCUUUUUCAAUCCACGUCACUCCUAUCACCUAGUUCAAUCAGGUAUGAAAAUGAGUGUUUUUCCAUAAAUAAAUAAAAAUAAAUGACACUGCUUUCAUGUUGGGCUUUGAAGUUUCCCAAGCAAAAAACUCUAGGAAGUGAAAAGGAACACACGUGAUCUUAUCUACGUACACGUGAAGUCGUGAACUCUCCAACCGUCGAAGUCAUUGCAUCAAGGGAUGCUACAAUUACAGGUAGUAUUUGGGGGUAUGCUCCAAGCAUUCUUUGGUAUGCUCUAAAACAAAGGUUUAAUAGGACUCAAGAAUGAAGUGAUACAUAAGUGCAGGUUGAAGUACAACAUAUCAAAUAUUCCAAAAAAAUUAUUGUCUUUAUAUUUCUAUCCAAUCAAAUUCUAAUAAAUAAUAUAAAAAUAUUAGUUUAUAUUUUUAUAAAUUUUCUUUUUAAUGAAAUGCAGACAAGUGAUCAUGUUACUUGAAUAAUCCACUUCCCCUUGAUGCCCACAAAGGUACAAUAUUGAAUGAAUUUAGGUGCAUAAUUGUCUUUAAGAUACAUCAAAAUAAUGGAUAAAGAUUUGUUGUUCUAAAUUAUGUCUCAAGUCAUGUUUUAGAUUGAUAAAAAUAUAUCAUGUCAAUUAAAAAAAUUAAAUAUUUAUGAUUUUUCUGUUUUUGUUUAAAUAUCAUUGAUUUAUGAUAUGGUUUGAAAGACACUUUACAAAAUGAUGACAUCAUAGAAUUUGGCUUGCAUGGGAAAUUUUUGCACAUAUGGUGGUGAUGCAACGUGUUACCAUCGAAAUGCUGUAUUCCUUUGUUAGUGAAUUUAUUUAUUCUAAAAAGAUCCGAAUGGUUCAAAGAUGGAUCGUGUUUCAGCCUCUAUGCAUUAUAAAAGAAGUUGGGCCUGGAAAUUGUGAUUGUUCAAUGCACAAUCCAUUAUUAUCAAUGUCGCAUGAUUUAAAAACCGAAUGGAAGAAUAUUGCAUACAUCUCUAAGAAAUGAAACUGGUAACUUGAAAACUAUAAUGAUUAAAUAUGACUUCUCCAAAAGCAUAUACAUGCAUAUCAUACUUUGCUACAUCUCAAUUAAUCACCCAUCUUAUAUAUAUAAUUUUUUAUUUAUUUUUCCUAGUCACAAAUAUUCUUUAUAUGAGUCAAUCAUGUUGGAGGCGGAGACAUUAUAGUAGAGAAAAAAUAUAUGCAUUAAUAAUGUAUCAGUCUUAUAUUGUUGCAUCAUUCAUUUUUAUUUAUUUUUUCUAGUCACAAUAUUAUUUAUAUGAGUCAAUCAUAUUGGAGCCACACAUUCAUAGUAGAGAAAAAAAUGUAUGCAUUAAUAAUGUAUCAGUUUUAUAUAUUAUUAUUGCAUCAUUCAUUAUUCAAGUUUUAUCAUUAUUAACUCUUCUAAAAAUUAAUACAAAUAAAUAGUAGAUAAUAUAAUAAUUGUGUAUAAAUUUUUACACCAUAGAUAUUAUACUCUUCAUAAUAUAGUUAGGCUAGCUCUUUAGGAAAUUUUCUUUAUCCAUAAGACUAGACUUGAAUCAUAGACUUUCCUGAGGGAAUUAAGAAUGUAACACUAGCACUAGCCACACAUUUAUAUUAUUUCUUUUAAUUAAUAAAAAAUUACCAUUGACCUAUAAAAUUUAAUCAUCCCCUUCUCUGUUCCUUUUGACAGCUCCAAAAUGAUUUACUAAUAUGUCUGCCACAAUGGGCACCAAGUCCUUGCAAGGGACACCCUUCUUAUACACCUCAGCCAAAUGUGAAUCAGUUCCAAUUCUCCCUCCAAGGAAAAUAUCCACACCUUCAGUAACCUUACCAUUCUCAUCCCUAGUCAUACACCCCAUGAAACCAAUAUCAGCAACUUGCACCUGCCCACAAGUGUUAGGACAACCAGUCCAAUGCAUCCUCACUUUCCUAGUCACUGCCACUUCCCUCUCAACUUCUUCAGUCACUUUCAAAGCCCUUGCCUUUGUCUCAAUUAUAGCUUGCCCACAAAAUUGGUUACCAGUACAAGCCACCAAUGUUUUCAUUAGAAUAGAAGGUUCAGGUGAAAACCUCUCUUUUAAUAGAGGUUCUUUAAGCAAUGCAUCAAGUUUUGAGUUUUCAACAUUAGGUAUGAUUAUGUUUUGUUCCACAGUAAGUCUUAGUUCACCAGUACCAUACUUAUCAGCUAAAUUAGCAAGUUCAUCCAUCUCAUAUGCU